Molecule: ribosomal RNA, 474 nt
Filed under: uncultured bacterium
Lineage: Bacteria
Description: bacterial SSU rRNA
Rfam family: Bacterial small subunit ribosomal RNA
Source: RNAcentral
AUUGAACGCUGGCGGCAUGCCUAACACAUGCAAGUCGAACGGCAGCGCGGGUAGCAAUACUUGGCGGCGAGUGGCGGACGGGUGAGGAAUGCAUCGGAAUCUGCCCAGUUGUGGGGGAUAACUGGCCGAAAGGCCAGCUAAUACCGCAUACGACCGAGAGGUGAAAGCGGGGGACCUUCGGGCCUCGCGCGAUUGGAUGAGCCGAUGCCGGAUUAGCUAGUUGGUGGGGUAAAGGCCUACCAAGGCGACGAUCCGUAGCUGGUCUGAGAGGAUGAUCAGCCACACUGGAACUGAGACACGGUCCAGACUCCUACGGGAGGCAGCAGUGGGGAAUAUUGGACAAUGGGCGAAAGCCUGAUCCAGCAAUGCCGCGUGUGUGAAGAAGGCCUGCGGGUUGUAAAGCACUUUCAGUAGGAAGAUUAUGACGGUACCUACAGAAGAAGCACCGGCUAACUACCGUGCCAGCAGCCGCGG